RNAcentral lists this unclassified non-coding RNA (74 nucleotides) under soil metagenome. RNAcentral's name for it is "partial internal transcribed spacer 1". The record is from RNAcentral.
AAAAAUUGAGGUAUUCAUUACCUCUUGUAUUUAAAACCUCACUCUAUAAAACCUAAAAUUUUUUUAAAAAUGAA